Molecule: ribosomal RNA, 468 nt
Filed under: uncultured bacterium
Lineage: Bacteria
Description: partial 16S ribosomal RNA
Rfam family: Bacterial small subunit ribosomal RNA
Source: RNAcentral
GACGAACGCUGGCGGCGUGCUUAACACAUGCAAGUCGAACGGAAAGGCCCUGCUUUUGUGGGGUGCUCGAGUGGCGAACGGGUGAGUAACACGUGAGUAACCUGCCCUUGACUUUCGGAUAACUUCAGGAAACUGGGGCUAAUACCGGAUAGGAGCUCCUGCUGCAUGGUGGGGGUUGGAAAGUUUCGGCGGUUGGGGAUGGACUCGCGGCUUAUCAGCUUGUUGGUGGGGGAGUGGCUUACCAAGGCUUUGACGGGUAGCCGGCCUGAGAGGGUGACCGGCCACAUUGGGACUGAGAUACGGCCCAGACGCCUACGUGAGGCAGCAGUGGGGAAUAUUGCACAAUGGGCGGAAGCCUGAUGCAGCAACGCCGCGUGCGGGAUGACGGCCUUCGGGUUGUAAACCGCUUUCGCCUGUGACGAAGCGGGAGUGACGGUAAUGGGUAAAGAAGCACCGGCUAACUACGUG